Molecule: long non-coding RNA, 847 nt
Organism: Neomonachus schauinslandi (Hawaiian monk seal)
Lineage: Eukaryota; Metazoa; Chordata; Mammalia; Carnivora; Phocidae
Exons: 3
Source: RefSeq, a predicted model, not a curated record
GGAAUCUGUCACUAACUGUGACUUCAGGCACAGAUACAAUCAUGAACAAAGAAGACCUAUUGGAGGUGACGCUGCUGCAGAGACAGAAGUGACCGUGCAUACAUACAGAGAGGAAGGGAUGGAUCUGAGAUCUAUUAAAGAUUGAGGAAGUCAAGACUUGGUGACCUAUCAAAUAUGGCAGUGAGGAGGAGAGAGGGGUCAGAAAUGCGCCCAGAGGUUUUAGGUGAGGUGACUUGGUGGAGGGAUUUUGGAUGGGGAUGGGGGUUAGGGAGAGCUGGAGACCCACAUUUAAGACUGUUAAAUCGGAGAGGCUUGACAAAUCUCUAAGUGGAGAUUUGUAAGAGGUGUUGGAUACAUGGAACUGCAGCUUGUAGGGGAUGAACAGGACCAUCAUCAGUACCACAUGAAGGCUAACACCAUGGGAGUGGGUGAGCUCCCUCUGGGAAAGCAGGAGGAGCAUUCAAAGUGAGGAGAGUGGAGAAGAAACUCCCUGGGAUGCUUUGGAGAUGGCUGGAGGAGAUGGAGACAGAGAACAAACUCCACAUGGGAGGUAUACCAGGCAUACCAAAUGGGAGGGAUAUCACAGCCUCAUGGAGAGAAGAAAUCGUAUAAGAAGGAGAAACAAACCAGUGCAUCCGUGGUUUUGGCAAAUAAGGAGGUUACUGACCACCUUUGUCCAGAGUAAUUUCAUUAUAUUGGUGUGAACCCCAGCCAAAGUAUAGUGGAUUGAGAUGUGAUAGAAAUGUGAUCAAUUAUCUUUUAUUUACCAAGGCAGAUAUAAGUUAGCGCUUUGUGGGAGAUCAUGGCGACUGAUGGCAGAAGGUCCAUAAGUGGGCACUCUGGUGUC